GUCGCUACUACCGAUUGAAUGGUUAUAGUGAGCAUAUGGGAUCAGUAGAAUUAGACUGGCACCAGUCUUUCUCUGCAGAGAACUAUGGCAAACUAGGCUAUUUAGAGGAAGUAAAAGUCGUAACAAGGUUUCCGUAGGUGAACCUGCGGAAGGAUCAUUA
RNAcentral lists this ribosomal RNA (160 nucleotides) under oat root associated fungus 00011. RNAcentral describes it as "18S ribosomal RNA". It matches the Rfam family "Eukaryotic small subunit ribosomal RNA", at positions 1675 to 1831 of the family's 1831-position model. The record is from RNAcentral. Lineage: Eukaryota; Fungi.